Molecule: transfer RNA, 85 nt
Filed under: Candidatus Aenigmatarchaeota archaeon
Lineage: Archaea; Nanobdellati; Candidatus Aenigmatarchaeota
Description: tRNA-Gly
Rfam family: tRNA
About the family: Transfer RNA (tRNA) molecules are approximately 80 nucleotides in length.
Source: RNAcentral
GCGCCGGUAGUCUAGUGGUUCCUUUGGCACUAAAGGACCUCGGCUUCCCAAGCCGAUAACGUGGGUUCGAUUCCCACUCGGCGCA